RNAcentral lists this ribosomal RNA (253 nucleotides) under uncultured bacterium. Its description in RNAcentral is "partial 16S ribosomal RNA". It matches the Rfam family "Bacterial small subunit ribosomal RNA", at positions 524 to 776 of the family's 1533-position model. The record is from RNAcentral.
UACGUAGGGACCAAGCGUUGUUCGGAAUUACUGGGCGUAAAGGGCGCGUAGGCGGCCAUCUAAGUCAGACGUGAAAUCCCCCGGCUUAACCUGGGAACUGCGUCUGAUACUGGAAGGCUUGAGUAUGGGAGAGGGAUGUAGAAUUCCAGGUGUAGCGGUGAAAUGCGUAGAUAUCCGGAGGAAUACCAGUGGCGAAGGCGGCACGCUGGGCCAUAACUGACGCUAAGACUCGAAAGCAUGGGUAGCGAACGGG